GCACACUCCGAGCGAGGAGCCGCGGUGAGACGGGGGGUGGAAGCGUGAAGCGGAAGUGCUGGGCGGAAAGCGCACGCAGGCGGUCUGGCAAGUCGGAUGUGAAAUCCCCGGGCUCAACCUGGGAACUGCAUUCGAAACUGGCAGGCUAGAGUGUUGUAGAGGGGGGUAGAAUUCCAGGUGUAGCGGUGAAAUGCGUAGAGAUCUGGAGGAAUACCGGUGGCGAAGGCGGCCCCCUGGACAAAGACUGACGCUCAUGCACGAAAGCGUGGGGAGCAAACAGGAUUAGAUACCCGAGUAGUC
Molecule: ribosomal RNA, 300 nt
Filed under: uncultured Bacillus sp.
Lineage: Bacteria; Bacillati; Bacillota; Bacilli; Caryophanales; Bacillaceae
Description: bacterial SSU rRNA
Rfam family: Bacterial small subunit ribosomal RNA
Source: RNAcentral